This 201-nucleotide ribosomal RNA is filed under the name uncultured bacterium. Its description in RNAcentral is "partial 16S ribosomal RNA". It matches the Rfam family "Bacterial small subunit ribosomal RNA", at positions 524 to 723 of the family's 1533-position model. The record is from RNAcentral.
UACGAAGGGGGCUAGCGUUGCUCGGAAUCACUGGGCGUAAAGCGCACGUAGGCGGACUCUUAAGUCGGGGGUGAAAUCCUGGAGCUCAACUCCAGAACUGCCUUCGAUACUGGCGAUCUUGAGUCCGGAAGAGGUGAGUGGAACUCCUAGUGUAGAGGUGGAAUUCGUAGAUAUUAGGAAGAACACCAGUGGCGAAAGGCG